AUGCUGUGUAAGCCCAGUGCACGUCCUCCCUUUCUGGGGAGGGGCAGUGGGAGCCAGGAAGGAGGCAGGAGAUUCUGGGUUGGGGGUGGGAGAAGCCCUCCUCCUCUCCAGUACUCAGGUCUCGGGAGCAGGGCACCCAGUGUGAAGCAAUCUGCACUUGCGGGGGGGGUGGGGGUGCGGACAGUGGUAUCCGGCAGGUCCACGUUGCCUGAAGCAACGUCUGUCCCCGCUGGGCCUCCUGACGGGCCGUGGAUGGAGAAGGAGCCUGUGUGCAGACAAGUUUCUACCACUCAAGGCCUUCUGGCCUCAGGGUGGGGUCAGGAGAGGGUCCUGGCUCCCCUGCCAGUUCCCUCUCCCGUUCCCAGGUUCUGCCAGGGCACUUCUGGGAGCUCGAUCUUUCUUUGUGUGUGUGAUGCUUUCUGGAGAAGGGAGGUGGUCUUCCCUGUUCCUGGGGCUCUUCCACCCCCAUGGCUGGGCCAGUUGCCAGAGGGUCCAGCCCCUCGUAUUCGGCUACCCUCCCGUCGCGCUGAGACAGCCAACAUCUGUCUUCUCGGUUCUGCUGAAUUUCUCCUUGUCAACCCCCCACCGGUCCCUCAGCGGAGCCCCAACCCCCCCGCCCCCGCCCCUGCAGAGCCCGGCGUUUCCCGCGCACUCGGGCUCGUUGCCUUCAGCCGUGGGAGAGCCCGGGACCCCGAGACUGCUCCUGGGCUCGGCGGGCGAUCGGGGUGUGCGGGCCGCCGCCUCAACCGUGCGAGCCCUUCCCCGCGGGCGGACCGCCAGGCUGGGCUCCUGCCAAGCCGCACGGGCCUCCGCCGCCAGUCCGCGGGGCCCGGCACCGCCUCCCGCAGGCGGCCCCCGCUUUGGGACUCGCGGUCCCGGGGUCUGCAGCAACAGUCCGCGGCUGAGGGACGCGCGCUGUGCGCCGCGUGCUGUGCGGCCAGAACACCCCAGGAUCGCCCCGGAACCCGCUGGACGGGCCCGGGACCCGGGGGAAGCGGGACGCACGGACCGGCUGCUUCCGGCGUCUGGGCGAGGUCACCGCCCCGCCCCUUCCGGCGUCGGCGCCCCGGGUCGGGCGGGCGCGGAGCUGGAGGGAGCUACGCGGUGCAGGCCUAG
RNAcentral lists this long non-coding RNA (1116 nucleotides) under Cervus hanglu yarkandensis (Yarkand deer). RNAcentral's name for it is "lncRNA (ENSCHYG00000021463.1)". Lineage: Eukaryota; Metazoa; Chordata; Mammalia; Artiodactyla; Cervidae. The record is from RNAcentral.